UACGUAGGGUGCGAGCGUUUGUCCGGAAUUAUUGGGCGUAAAGAGCUUGUAGGCGGUUUGUCGCGUCUGCCCGUGAAAUUUCGAGGCUCAACCUCGAACUUGCGGUGGGUACGGGCAGACUAGAGUGGUGGUAGGGGGAGACUGGAAUUCCUGGUGUAGCGGUGAAAUGCGCAGAUAUCAGGAGGAACACCAGCGGCGAAGGCGGCGCUCUGGGCCGGUACUGACGCUGAGGAGCGAAAGCGUGGGGAGCGAACAGG
RNAcentral lists this ribosomal RNA (257 nucleotides) under uncultured bacterium. RNAcentral describes it as "partial 16S ribosomal RNA". It matches the Rfam family "Bacterial small subunit ribosomal RNA", at positions 524 to 776 of the family's 1533-position model. The record is from RNAcentral.